AUUGAACGCUGGCGGAAUGCUUUACACAUGCAAGUCGAGCGGCAGCGCGGGGGCAACCCUGGCGGCGAGCGGCGAACGGGUGAGUAAUACAUUGGAACGUGUCCUUCAAGUGGGGGAUAGCUCGGCGAAAGCCGGAUUAAUACCGCAUAAGCUCUGAGGAGGAAAGCGGGGGACUGGUAACGGCCUCGCGCUGUUGGAGCGGCCGAUGUCGGAUUAGCUAGUUGGUGGGGAAAGGCCCACCAAGGCGACGAUCCGUAGCUGGUCUGAGAGGAUGAUCAGCCACACUGGAACUGAGACACGGUCCAGACUCCUACGGGAGGCAGCAGUGGGGAAUUUGGACAAUGGGGGCAACCCUGAUCCAGCCAUGCCGCGUGAGUGAAGAAGGCCUGG
Molecule: ribosomal RNA, 390 nt
Filed under: uncultured bacterium
Lineage: Bacteria
Description: bacterial SSU rRNA
Rfam family: Bacterial small subunit ribosomal RNA
Source: RNAcentral